UAGACCCUACGGGGCGCAGCAGUGAGGAAUAUUGGUCAAUGGUCGGGAGACUGAACCAGCCACGCCGCGUGAGGGAUGAAGGUACAGAGUAUCGUAAACCUCUUUUGUCAGGGAACAAAGGCGGGGACGUGUCCCCGGAUGAGUGUACCUGGAGAAAAAGCAUCGGCUAACUCCGUGCCAGCAGCCGCGGUAAUACGGAGGAUGCGAGCGUUAUCCGGAUUUAUUGGGUUUAAAGGGUGCGCAGGCGGUCUGUUAAGUCAGCGGUCAAAGCCCGUGGCUCAACCCCGGCCC
RNAcentral lists this ribosomal RNA (291 nucleotides) under uncultured bacterium. RNAcentral's name for it is "partial 16S ribosomal RNA". It matches the Rfam family "Bacterial small subunit ribosomal RNA", at positions 333 to 621 of the family's 1533-position model. The record is from RNAcentral.